This 148-nucleotide small nuclear RNA is filed under the name Sinocyclocheilus rhinocerous. RNAcentral's name for it is "U1 spliceosomal RNA (ENSSRHG00000005687.1)". It matches the Rfam family "U1 spliceosomal RNA". Rfam says of the family: U1 is a small nuclear RNA (snRNA) component of the spliceosome (involved in pre-mRNA splicing). Lineage: Eukaryota; Metazoa; Chordata; Actinopteri; Cypriniformes; Cyprinidae. The record is from Rfam by way of RNAcentral.
UUACUUACCUAGCAGGGGUGACUCCAUGAUGAAGCAGGUGGAUUGCCUAGAGUGAGCUGCGGCGCUCUGACCUCUAUGAAUUCUCCACAUGUGAGGAUCUCAACUGCAUAAUUUCUGCUAGUGGGUACUGCGUUGGCGCUUUCCCCGG